GUCCAAGUUGGCAAAAUAGUUAGUUAUAGUGGCCCAAGAAAAGUGUCCGAUAGACCUAUUCAGAUCGCAGCCGAAAAGACAGCUAACGAUUAGCGGGCCGCAGAUGGGCGAUCAGGUUACGUCGCGACGGAGGGGCCAGUUGGAUAACUCCCUCGGGCAGAUAACGUCGGUGGUCCAGUCGUGAAGACCCGAUGGGGCUCCGCAUCGGCAGUAAAACGGGUCAGGAUAGCCGGCUGACUAAGACUGACAUGGAGCUGGAGGUGCUGCGAUACACUAACCGGAUUUCCAGUGAAGCCCAUAAAGAGAUAAUGAAGCAUGUGAGACACAGACAGAAAGAAUAUGAAAUGGAGAGAAUACCAACUCAAAAUAUGGAAGCAGCAGGACAACUGAUGAUCUCCCAGAUGAUCAAUGAACAAGGUGACCUUCUUUGUCAACACCAUGAUCAGCUGGCUCAACUGGGGACGGCCAUGGAAGAAAUUCUCCGCAGUCUACAACAUCUCAACAGGGGAGGAUAUUCUAGAGCCAGUCUACCCAACGAGUCAGCACACCAGCCCAUUCAGCAACCCGCUCAGGUUGGUGGUUCCUGGUCCCCUAGCUGAUGCUGUCCCCCACCCCCCGGACAUCAAGUGAGGCCCAGCGUAUGCUGUCAGAUCCUUAUUGGACUCCUGACGUUGUGGGGGUCAACUCCAGUAUCUGGACUGGGAGGGGUAUGGGAGGCGUCUGCUCCUCCCCUCCGGCGUACAACGUCGCCAGAGUACUAACCAGUCAUCAUUACGCACACCUGGCACUCAUCAUUACACACACACCUGUGAAUCAUUAUGACUCACACCUGGACUCCAUUACCUUCAUAAUUUCCUCCCCUUUAUGUCACUCUCCCAUGUGCACUUACCAGUUGGUAUUGUUCUUGUGUCUCGGCGUACGUGUUCGUGUCGUGUUCUUGGUUUUGUUGUUUUAUUAAAAUGUUCACCUGCACCUGCUUCCGACUCACCACCCC
RNAcentral lists this long non-coding RNA (994 nucleotides) under Salmo salar (Atlantic salmon). RNAcentral describes it as "lncRNA (ENSSSAG00000105005.1)". Lineage: Eukaryota; Metazoa; Chordata; Actinopteri; Salmoniformes; Salmonidae. The record is from RNAcentral.